RNAcentral lists this long non-coding RNA (365 nucleotides) under Vitis vinifera (wine grape). RNAcentral's name for it is "long non-coding RNA (VVIN_LNC003071)". Lineage: Eukaryota; Viridiplantae; Streptophyta; Magnoliopsida; Vitales; Vitaceae. The record is from RNAcentral.
UCUCUUUGACAAUGAUCGAUCUUCUUUGCCUUCCCUCUACCACUCAACUUCCAUGUUGACAUUUGAGGGCCACAAGGUACAAGGGGUUGAUGAAAUCUCUCAGAAACUCAAUCUGUUGCCAUUCGAUCAAUGCCAACAUGUGAUCAGCACCAUUGACUCACAGCCCUCCUCCUUCACUGGUGGCAUCAUGGUCUUUGUCAGUGGCAGCCUUAAACUACCCGGGGAGGAGCACCAACUAAGAUUUAGCCAGGUAUUAAUUAUCCUUGGCACAGCCGAGAGAAAAAUACACCAAAAACUCAUUAGCCCAUUCCUUAGAUUACAACAAAUUUACUGGUAUGGGACAAGAACCUAGUUAUUGAUAGAAG